Molecule: transfer RNA, 74 nt
Filed under: Opitutales bacterium TMED158
Lineage: Bacteria; Pseudomonadati; Verrucomicrobiota; Opitutia; Opitutales
Also listed under: 1 other name
Description: tRNA-Gly
Rfam family: tRNA
About the family: Transfer RNA (tRNA) molecules are approximately 80 nucleotides in length. Their secondary structure includes four short double-helical elements and three loops (D, anti-codon, and T loops).
Source: RNAcentral
GCGGGUAUAGUUUAGUGGUAGAACCCCAGCCUUCCAAGCUGGUUGCGUCGGUUCGAUUCCGUCUACCCGCACCA